Molecule: long non-coding RNA, 1070 nt
Organism: Mercenaria mercenaria
Lineage: Eukaryota; Metazoa; Mollusca; Bivalvia; Venerida; Veneridae
Exons: 2
Source: RefSeq, a predicted model, not a curated record
CAAAUAAACCAUUUUAUUACUGAUCAAUUUACAUAAAACUAAUAUCAAAUAAAUCAGAAAUGAAUUAUCUUUCAAAAGCUGCAAAUUUGAAGAAAAUCCAUUAACAAUAAGUAUGUUAAUUAAUUUAUUAAUUACCAAUUAUUGGUAAUAAUCGAUAUUUUUCACACCUACGCGCGCGCCUAUUUAUGGUGGACACAUGUUUAUGAGGGGGUGUGUUUUCAUUGAAAGAUGCGGUAAACUUGCCAUUUAUGAAUAUUUAUGAGGUAAUAUAAUCCAAUCAGAGAAAAGAAUGAGCUUCCCAAUGGCGUUACUUCCGUAAAAAUUGACCGAGAAAAAAAAAUUGUACAAUGCCGUAAAGUCUGGUUAGAUUUGUUGCCAAACAAUAAGGUCCAUGCCAACACUGUUAAAUGUUUUGUUGGGUGACCAUUAUAUGGCUUUAUUCCCUUGGCCUUUUUGUCAGGAAUUAGGGCUAUCAUCAGAUGGUUUAAAAGGAAAUAAAUUAUGUAAAAUCCCUGAAGGUGCCUUGAAAAAUGGACUCGUGUUAGAAUUAAAAACAUUUGCCAACAAAUCAAAUCUGCCAUGUGCUAGUGUAGUCCAGUGGAUACAAAUACUUCAGCCACAAUCAAAUGCCAGUUCGUAAUCAAACACGGCUUCGUUCCAGAAUGCAAAAAUUCUGGACGUUUAUGGUUCGUUGAAGACCAUGCAAAUAUUCAUGCAGUGUAUGAAAAAUACAAAAAGAUAUACUUUUAAAUGGUGCUGGAGCUAUAAUGUUCUUGGUGUACAAAAAUGUACAUAAAAAUGUAGAUAAAGACAAAGACUGUGAUCAUCAAUCAAAUGCUCAUGUGUAAAUUUAUGAUAUUUAUGUUAUGAACUUAUUGUUAUUUGUAUAUAUUUUAACAUGCUCUUAUUUGCUGGAAAAAGAAGAAUAAGGAUGUGUAUCCUUGUUUAAAUGUGUAAUGACUCUAUAGAAUUACAAUAUUAAAUUAUUUAUUUCAACAUGCAUUUGUAUUUUAAUGCUAGUAUGAAGAUAAUAUUUAUUGUUCGACAUGUGAAUAAAAUAUUAAAAAAUA